GAGUAAAAAUUAUAAAUUUUAAUAAGUUGUUUUGAUUUGACAAAAAUAUUUCUAGUUU
This 58-nucleotide transfer RNA is filed under the name Globodera rostochiensis. RNAcentral describes it as "tRNA-Ile". The record is from RNAcentral. Lineage: Eukaryota; Metazoa; Nematoda; Chromadorea; Rhabditida; Heteroderidae. RNAcentral also lists the same sequence under 1 other name.